CCUACGGGUGGCAGCAGUGAGGAAUCUUGGUCAAUGGGCGUAAGCCUGAACCAGCCAAGUCGCGUGAGGGAUGAAGGUUCUAUGGAUCGUAAACCUCUUUUAUAAGGGAAUAAAGUGCGGGACGUGUCCCGCUUUGUAUUUACCUUAUGAAUAAGGAUCGGCUAACUUCGUGCCAGCAGCCGCGGUAAUACGGAGGAUCCGAGCGUUAUCCGGAUUGAUUGGGUUUAAAGGGUGCGUAGGCGGCCUUUUACGUCAGCGGUGAAAGUCUGUGGCUCAACCAGAGAAUUGCCGUUGAAACUGGGGGGCUUGAGUAGGUUUGAGGCAGGGGGAAUGCGUGGUGUAGCGGUGAAAUGCUUAGAUAUAACGCAGAACCCCGGUUGCGAAGGCGGCCUGC
This 394-nucleotide ribosomal RNA is filed under the name uncultured bacterium. RNAcentral's name for it is "partial 16S ribosomal RNA". It matches the Rfam family "Bacterial small subunit ribosomal RNA", at positions 338 to 729 of the family's 1533-position model. The record is from RNAcentral.